RNAcentral lists this ribosomal RNA (102 nucleotides) under uncultured bacterium. Its description in RNAcentral is "partial 16S ribosomal RNA". It matches the Rfam family "Bacterial small subunit ribosomal RNA", at positions 392 to 508 of the family's 1533-position model. The record is from RNAcentral.
CAACGCCGCGUGAGGGAUGAAGGCCUUCGGGUCGGUAAACCUCUUUUCUCAGGGAAGAUAAAUUGACGGUACCUGAGGAAGAAGCCACGGCUAACUACGUGC